This 692-nucleotide long non-coding RNA is filed under the name Nicotiana tabacum (common tobacco). RNAcentral describes it as "long non-coding RNA (NTAB_LNC003118)". Lineage: Eukaryota; Viridiplantae; Streptophyta; Magnoliopsida; Solanales; Solanaceae. The record is from RNAcentral.
UCAUUACAAACUCCUUAAAUUAAAACACAUAAAUAAAGUAAAAUUUAUCUAACACAAAGUCCAAUUAAAAUACAUGAAUAUUAAUUUUAAGAAAAGAAUAAAGUAUGUUGCUUCCCCAAAUGUUAGUGCUAAUAACUUCACUCUUGAAUAAAUUUCCAUCUUUAUGUGCCUAAAAAAAGAAAACAAAUGUAAUUUUAGUACUUAUUUUUUUUAUCAAAUGAAUUAGAAAACAUAUAUUUUAAAUGUUAUUAAUAAAUUAAAUAUUAAUAAAAUAAUAAAAAAAAUAGUGAUUGCGAUACUUACUCCAAUUCUUCUUUGGCUACAACCACAAGAAUUCAGACCAAGAGAUAUAAAAUUCUGAGUAGUUAACCUCUCAAAAAUCAAAGAAGAGUAGAUAAGAAAUUUAAUACCAGUACCGGAAAAUUAAAAAUAAAUAGGAACAUACUAAUACAUACAUGUCAUAUAGCACAUGGAGAAAUCCAAAUUUGUAAUGUCCUAAAUACAUAUUGAAAGUAAAGUAGAUUGUAUACCUUGUCUUAAGAUGUUUAUCAUCCUAGAUUUGAUCUUCUAUGGUAUUAAAUCAACAAAUUGUUUUUUGGAGAAGACACACUCUCUCUCACACACACAGAGAGGAUGAAAAUAUAGAAGAUUUUACUUAGGCAGGGGUUUGAUUGGGGUAUGAAGUGCAUAUA